RNAcentral lists this long non-coding RNA (558 nucleotides) under Musa acuminata (dwarf banana). RNAcentral describes it as "long non-coding RNA (MACU_LNC000966)". Lineage: Eukaryota; Viridiplantae; Streptophyta; Magnoliopsida; Zingiberales; Musaceae. The record is from RNAcentral.
UUGGAAUGUGAGAUUCGGAUAGCAACUUAAGAGUUGCUUUAAAUUUUAUGAUUGACAUUGCAGAAAGAGGUUGACCUUGUCGCAAGCCUUGAUUUAACUGUUAGAAAUGUGGCUGAGCUGGUUUUUCUAGUAAAAUGACAACAUAUGAUUUGAAAUUUACCUGAGUGGUUGUCCCAAUCUUUCACUUGAUAAUGCAAAUGCAGUCUGCCAAACUAUGCUUCUUGUUGUGGUAUGAAUCUUAAAUUAUUAAUGGCGCUCUUGUCGAUAAAUAUUUGGAGUGCUGUAAUUAUGUUAUUAACUGAAACUACUAAAUUGCCACAGGUAGGUUUAAGAAUCUUUACUUUGUAGCAACCCCCUUAAUCAUCCACAGGUAUGAUUAAAAAAUUGCAAGCAGUCAUUAGUAGUUGACAUCAUCUUGCCAACCAUAUAAAGGCUUAUUCAUGUGUACUAUGAAGUCUCAUCUACAGUCUGCUCCAAUUUUAUAUCUCAGUUGUUAGAUUUGUUGAUGCUAAUAUUUAGUUUGAUUAUAUCACUCUUGUCGCCUCUACAUGGGAAAUU